Populus euphratica (Euphrates poplar) is the source of this 1803-nucleotide RNA transcript. It is a transcript of the gene named probable WRKY transcription factor 23, with no coding region annotated. The record is from RefSeq and is a predicted model, not a curated record. Lineage: Eukaryota; Viridiplantae; Streptophyta; Magnoliopsida; Malpighiales; Salicaceae. The transcript is spliced from 4 exons.
UCCCCAAAAUCUCAGCUUAGUUUCACACUCAAAACUCUCGCUUUCCCUCUCACUUGCCCACCUACCAUAAAAAAUCAGAUCAACCCUACCCUACACUCGGUCUCUAGAAGAGAAGAGAAACCCCACGCUACUGCUUCUCUUUUGUUUGAUGAAGAUUUUACUGCUUUGAUUUUGAGGUAUGGAGAGGAGAGAAGCUGUGAAGGUUGAGAAAUUUGAUGGAUCUCCAGCAUUUAGUGCUACUAAUGAUCAUGUUCAAACUAGCUAUCCAUUUAUGCAGGGUCACUAUGGUUUUGACUUUGUUGAUGGAGAUAAGAACGCUUUAGGGUUCAUGGAGCUACUGGGUAUGCAAGACUUUAGUCCUUCUUUGCUUGAUAUGAUACAGGUACCGAUACCACCUGCGCAGGAUCCAAAUGUUCAUGUAGUUACGGAGUCGCCACCAGAGUUGUUGAAUCAGCCUGCUACACCUAACUCUUCAUCGAUUUCAUCGGCUUCUAGUGAAGGUUUGAAUGAUGAGCCUGUUAAUAAGAGUGUUGAUGACGAGGUAGAGGAGCAAGAAAAGAACAAGAAAGAGUUGAAACCAAAGAAGACAAAUCAGAAGAGACAGAGAGAGCCGAGGUUCGCAUUCAUGACAAAGAGCGAGGUUGAUCAUCUGGAAGAUGGGUACAGAUGGAGAAAGUACGGCCAAAAAGCUGUGAAAAAUAGCCCUUUUCCUAGGAGUUACUAUCGUUGCACCACUGCCUCGUGUAAUGUGAAGAAGAGAGUGGAGAGGUCUUUCAGUGAUCCAAGCGUGGUUGUGACCACUUAUGAAGGUCAACACACCCAUCCUAGCCCGGUCAUGCCGCGUCCAAGCUUUACUGGACCUGCAUCUGAUUCUGGUUUCUCGUCCACCGCUGCCUUUGUGAUGCCAAUGCAAAGGAGACUAUCUUUCUAUCAACAACAUCAAAGUCGACAACAACCACCUUUUGUCAACAGCUUCUCACCUUUGGGUUUUGGUUACAAUGGAAGCACCACAAAUGCUGCUGCUAUUAAUUAUCUACAAUAUGAGAAGCGCUUUUGCAGUAGCUCAGGGUCUACUUUACUCAAGGAUCAUGGGCUUCUUCAAGAUCUCGUCCCCUCCCAUAUGCUAAAGGAAGAGUAGAGGAGAAGUCUGUGUUACUGCUUUGUAGUUUCCCUAUAACUGACUUCUCUAAAAGAGUUGCAGAUGAAAGACCCCCUUAAUGAUAUGGCAUCAUGGUAUGUAAUGUCUUACUGACUUCCUGGUCGUAAUUUCUCUCGCAGACUUGCAGCUGUAGAAGAACUCAAACUUCUUCAUCUUACGGCUUUUUGGCGAGUAUCCAAAGGAAUGUGCAUUGAUUUCAAGGACUGAAGACUUUUGAGUGCUAGGGUUUAUUCUUGAGGAUGCAGUUUGCUAGGGAAGCUUUCUAGCUUCUCUCUUUGUCCGGGAAUCCGCAAAAUUAUUUGUUUUUCUUAGAAAAGGAACCCAGUCGUGAGAAUUUGGUGGAGAAAAUUAACGUGCUGUCUCUUCUGAAUAUGAACCGAGGGAAACAAAGAGGAAGAAUAUCUUAACCACUCCAGAGUCUGCUCCUAUUUUUAGCUUUUUUAAGUAAUGCUCUUUUGUUUUUUUUAGGCCGUGCCCAGGCCAUUUAUUAUUUCGGUUCCUUGAAGAAUGGUGAUUUAAAAAGGUAAAACUGCUUGACAGAGUCAAUUUCUUGCACACAUGUUGACAGAAUAUAGACUGCGUUUCAGUGAUUCUAAUUGGGGACCGUGAACUUAAAUAAAUCAAUGGAAAAAAUGGAUUGAUCA